RNAcentral lists this long non-coding RNA (4680 nucleotides) under Takifugu rubripes (torafugu). RNAcentral's name for it is "lncRNA (ENSTRUG00000026261.1)". The record is from RNAcentral. Lineage: Eukaryota; Metazoa; Chordata; Actinopteri; Tetraodontiformes; Tetraodontidae.
AUGUUCCUGCGUCACUAUCAGAUUGCUCAGUUUCAAUUAUCUCAUCUUCAGGAACAGUUCUUGAAAUUGUUCGAAAAUCCUCUGUUGGGAUUUCUGGGUUGUGUCUGUCUUUGGCCUGCAGGGUGUGGUGUUGAGCACAAUUGGGUGCAGCUGGCACUGCAGGUGGGCGCACCUGUAGGCAAUUUACAUCUUGCUGCCUAUUUAAGCAGGUUGUGCCUGCCUGUCAGUGCCGGGGUGUCUGUUUGUUUGUUUGGGUUCCUUGGUGUUGGUAGGGUGUCUGUUCGUGGUGAAGCUGUUUGGUUGCUUCCCUGUCGUGUGGUGCUCUGCAUCUCCUGGAGGGUUGCCCCUGUUCCCGAGCUUCUGGUUUCCUUGGACGACCGCUCCUGUUCCUGUUGCCCUGGAGGGUUGCUCCUGUCCCCGAGCUUCCUGUUUUCCUGGAGGGCCGCUCUUGUCCCCAAGCUUCCGGUUUUUCUGGCGGGCCGCGCCUGUUCCUGUUCCUGGUCUCCUGGCGGACCGCUCCUGCUCCCCUUGCAGCCUAGGACGACUGCCUCUGCCUUUAGUGUCUCGGGGCACAUUCGUGUGGUGAGCGUGUCGCGCCGGACUCCCGAGUCCUCGCCGGUCCUGGGGGACUGCUGCGGUUUGAGGACUCACCGGUGUUCCGAGUUCCCCGCAGUCCAGGGGGACUGCGUCUGGUUGGGGACUCGCCGAUGGACCUGUGACAGGCGGACGCUGCCUCCCAAUCCCCCUGCGGUCCAGGAGGACUGUUUCCUGUCGUCAGUGUGUGCUCCCCUUCCCUGUAAAUAAAGCUCUUGACUACUCCACCACUGUGUCCUGGCCUGCGUUCGGGUCCUCUGCAACCAUGUUUCGUAACAGCUACUGCUAUCAUCAUUACCCAGCUUCCUAAUGACACAGCACAGCAAAGCCAAUUAACCUCCCCCGGAAGCACUGCUAAAGGCCUUCUGCUCCAAAGGACUGACACGAUGUGAAACUGGAUGAGGGAGUCAGGGGUGAGGGAGUGAAUCAAUGGAAUGGAAAAUAAGAGAAAACGAUUUGUCACAACAUUGUCAACUUCCCUUCUGCCGUCUCUCCAGAUGUAGGAACAGUGGGCCAGAUUCACGAAGCGUUCUUACGAACAAAUUUGUUCUUAAGUCCCACUUACGAACAGUUGACGAAGAUUGUGGCAUUCACCAAUUUCUUCUUAUCCUGGAUUUAUUCGUAGGUAAGAACAAAUCCUACGAACACUCAGGAGUACUCUUGCGCACAUUUCAGUGCCGACAUGUUGGCAUGGUUGUGUUUUCUUCUCUUGUGCAGUUCAAUAAAAUUCAAUAUUACAAUGAUAAUUCUGUCAUAUUUAUUUAUUUGUUUAUUUCCUAUUUUUGGUGAUUUACGGAGAAUUUUAAAAUUACGUAAAUGUGCCAAUGACUUGACAUUAAUCAACCAAAUUGGAAACCAUGCCAAAACUGUCUUUUUAUUUGAUUUUAUCUUGAUUUAUUUUAUUAGGGGAUCGAGGAUAUGCCCUGGUUGUUGACACCACUGACCAACCCUCAGACUCCACAGGAGUUUUAUUCAAUCAGAUGCAUGCGCGCAGUCGCUCCACCAUUGAACGCACCAUCGGCAUGUUAAAGGGGCGCUGGAUGUGUUUGGACACAGAGCCACAACCCCGUGAGGAUGUGCGUCCUGACGCAAUGAUGGGGCCAGACUGCAGGCACGCGGUUCACGUUCGAGCGCGAUUAAUUGCCCGUUUGUGAAUAAAAUGCAUUAUUGUCAAAAUCCGAGCACAGCUUUUACACGUUUUUUUUUUUUUUUUACAUUCUUCUUUUUUUACAUUCUCGUUGAUUUCUUUAAGCGUGUUGGCUAUAGUCAUCCGGGUUGAGGCAAUUUUAUCAAGCGUGUUAGCCAUCCUUUCUUGAUUGUUCAACACGGCGUCAGAAAUCAGGCGUGGAGAGGCAAGCUUUGGGCAUUUCGCUGCUUUUUGCUCCGUCUACAGGGUCCUGCUGCAGUUCCUUUUAUGGGCAUUAGUGGGCGGUGACUUAUGCUAAUCGUAUGUUAAUUAGACUCACCUGGCACGCGCUUUCAACUUACGAACAGAUGGCAUUCAUCAAUCUAAGAACACAGCUGCGAACAAUUCUGGGGCUUACGAACGCGUUGAUGAAUCCGACGUAGGGUUUUCUUAAAAAACUUCUUAAGGACAACUUAAGAAAGAAUCUAAGAAGAUUCGUAAGAACAUAUUGGUGAAUCGGGCCCAGUGACUUCAGCAGCCAUGCCUUGUGUUUCAGUGCAGCUGCUGCAGCCAUUUAAUGCUCGCAGCUGCAUGAGGUGAAACCACACAUCCCUUUUAGUAUACGCCUUUGCAACCAUUGCAGACCUCUCGAUGGAGGGCGAGGAUGAAGCAGGGCAAUGCAGAAAGUGUGUGAGUUGACCUGUAGGAGCAUAUAGACUUUUGAGGACAGCUCUGCAGACAUAGGGUGACACUGUGUUUCUCUAAUGGCCAACUAUGCAGCCACUGGAAAAGACAAUGUGUUGCCUCAUUACAGUGUGUCUGCAGAAGAGCAUGAUAAAUAUCUCCUCAAUAACAGGUUCAUUUGAAGAAGCACACUCAAAUUGAUUACAAUGCUUAUCUGCUCUGUUUGCACACAAAUUCAGCAUGUGUGUGUCAGAAUUUGAAAAAUAUGACGCUAAGCAUGUGCCACGGAGGUUCUAUGUUUUCCUGUCAAAGUAAACAAUGAAAUGGCAUAACUACAGUUUCACAACAGCUGGUUUAUUUGCUUGCCUUCAAAAGUUUAAGAAGUUUGAGUGAUCCAAAGUAAGAGGAACUUUACAUCAGUAGCAUGGUGAAAAGAAAGGUGUUACCCAGAUGAUUGCAGGUGGUCAAGACAUAUCAGGAAAAAGGGAGAAAGGCCAGAUGGUAAGUACCGUAUUUUCACAACCAUAAGGCGCGCCGUAUUAUAGGGCGCACCUUCAAUUAACAGCCUAUUUUAGAAAUAUUUUCAUACACAGGGCGCUCCGUGUUAUAAGGCGCAUAGCAUAGAAACUGCGUAGUGCCUGUGGUUUCAUGACGCGUUCACUAGAUCGAGCUGCGCUAAAAGGAAUGUCAAUAAAACAGCCAGAUAAGUCAGUCAAACUUUAUUAAUAGAAUACAAACCGUCGUUCUCACAACUCUAUUCACUCCAAUAGAGUUGUGAGAACAGCUGUUUUAUUUUUUUUCCCGAGUGACGUAGUGUUUUCGCGUAACACAGUUCGUUUAAUAACAGCGAGUUAUAACAGGCAGUGCAACAUUUUUAUCACAAGUGGAGUUUAAUAAAUCUUCGAUUUAGUGCAACAUUUUUAUCACGUAGUACCGUUGCGGUAAAUCAAACGUUAGUGCAAACACAAUAUACGGUAACUCGAACUCUCGAAGUAGUGCAAAGCGAUAGCAAUAUAACAAUAGCAAUAUAACAACGUUGUUCAAACGGUAAUGUCCAUAUUCACAGUAUGACCAGCCUUGUUAAGUUGUAAACACACAAAAGAAACACGUAAAGAUCACUUUAUCAGUUCAUUCCUCAUCCAGGAAUCCCUCGAAUUCUUCUUCUUCGGUGUCUGAAUUGAACAGUUGUGCGAAUACGGCGUCCAACACGGCCGGCUCCGUCUUGUCAAAGUCGUCAUCAGGGUCGGUGUCGCUGGUGUUGUCUGGCAUUUCAGUGACAAUCCCUGCCUUCCCGAAAGCUCGGACCACGGUCGAUGCCCAGGCAUUUACGAUCCACUGGCAGAUAGUGACGUAUGACGCUCGGCGCCGUCUCCCCGUCUUGGUGAACGUGUGUUCGCCGUUCGUCAUCCACCGCUCCCACGCAGUUCGCAGUCUAGCUUCGAAUGCCCCGUUGACACUAAUAUCUAGCGGCUGGAGUUCCUUUGUUAAUCCACUUCUUGCUUUGUUUCCUCGGAAGCUCCGUUGCUUCCUCCACUUCCGCACCAUUGAUUCGUUCACGUUAAAUCCUCUUGCUGCUGCUCUAUUUCCGUGUUCAACUGCGUGACUGAUAGCCUUCAGUUUGAACUCUGCGUCAAAAGCGCGUCUCUUGCAAGGAGCCAUUUUGGGGUCUUUACAGACAGAAAUGGUUUGGGACUGAAUUUACUGCUGUUACCUCGGCCACGCCUACUGACUACGGUAGCCGCGAUUAACCAAUAUUACCGUAAUCCAUACAAAAGGCGCUCCGGGUUAAAAGGCGCACCGUAGAUUUUUUAGAAAAUUCUAGGCUUUUAGGUGCGCCUUAUAGUCGUGAAAAUACGGUAAUCACCACUUCAGUGUCUGUGUGUGUCUGUGUGUGUGUUGCGUACUGAUGUUCUGUAUGGGAUUCCAGAGAUGCCUCUUUCACAGGAGAAAUCAAGUUCCCCCAGUUUCUUCAAAGCUAAAUCUUUUGCUUGCUUACGCGAGACCCAUAACAACUGAGCAUUUUUCUUGAAUGACAAGAAUGUCAACAAGCAGAACUGCUUCAUAAAACCACUGCUUUGGGUCAGGAGAAAACUUCCCAUGAGGUUACUGAUGCUUGUCCAGAUUCUAAAAUGUUAGAAAUUCAUCUAACAAAGAGAUUCCACAAAUCCUCCGGCAGACAGAUUAUAUCCAAGUUAAGGGAAUUUAAAAUAGUUUUCCACUGGGAAGGGACGGACUGCCAGAGAUGGAAUAGUAAGACAGGUCACAGAGGAACCCAC